This 302-nucleotide ribosomal RNA is filed under the name Pelobates cultripes (western spadefoot toad). It matches the Rfam family "Eukaryotic small subunit ribosomal RNA", at positions 189 to 471 of the family's 1831-position model. Lineage: Eukaryota; Metazoa; Chordata; Amphibia; Anura; Pelobatidae. The record is from RNAcentral.
AGCAGGGUGGCCACCCAGUAAUCAGCACAAGUUAGAAUGUGGGCAACUCGGCAGUUGUUGCGCAGGCACUUUGGUGACUCUAGAUAACCUCGGGCUGAUCGCCCGUCCCCAUGACGGCGGCGACACAUUCAGAUGUCUGCCCUAUCAACUUUCGAUGGUACUUUCUUCACCUACCAUGGUGUCCACGGGUAACGGGGAAUCAGGGUUUGAUUCCAGAGAGGGAGCCUGAGAAACGGCUACCACAUCCAAGGAAGGCAGCAGGCGUGCAAAUUACCCACUCCCGAUGCGGGGAGGUAGUGACU